GCAGGAGAAAGAGCAUCACAGUUUUCAGGGGAGGGUCAAGUGCAGCAACAUCUGGGAAAUCGUCACCUACUUAGUCCUCCAUUUACCUAAAUCUGCAUGGUUAAAGCCAAAGAUGAGAAACCACUCAAACCCAAUAACUGAGCAGCUAACGCCUCUCAUUCAUAGGAGCUAUCUGUGCAUGGCAUUGCUCAACACUUUGAACUUAGCCGAUCUCUUCAUUUUGAAAAGAAAAGACGAAAAGAUGGAACCAAUAGAAGAAAUUACAAAAUUACAAACUGGCAAAGUUGUGGUAUAGGAAGCUUGUUUUGUCCUCAGCCUCCCUCUGGCUACACUAGACCAUGAUGGGAUCAGCCUGUUUCCAGACCAGGAACCC
Mastomys coucha (southern multimammate mouse) is the source of this 373-nucleotide long non-coding RNA. RefSeq lists it as uncharacterized. The record is from RefSeq and is a predicted model, not a curated record. The transcript is spliced from 3 exons. NCBI's taxonomy places the organism in Eukaryota, Metazoa, Chordata, Mammalia, Rodentia, Muridae.